UACCAGACUCCUACGGGAGGCAGCAGUGAGGAAUAUUGGUCAAUGGGCGAGAGCCUGAACCAGCCAAGUCGCGUGAGGGAAGACGGUCCUACGGAUUGUAAACCUCUUUUGUCAGGGAGCAAGGAGCGCCACGAGUGGUGCGGCGAGAGUACCUGAAGAAAAAGCAUCGGCUAACUACGUGCCAGCAGCCGCGGUAAUACGUAGGGGGCAAGCGUUAUCCGGAUUUACUGGGUGUAAAGGGAGCGUAGACGGCAGUGCAAGUCUGAAGUGAAAGCCCCGGGCUUAACCCGGGAAUUGCUUUGGAAACUGUACGGCUGGAGUGCUGGAGAGGUAAGCGGAAUUCCUAGUGUAGCGGUGAAAUGCGUAGAUAUUAGGAGGAACACCAGUGGCGAAGGCGGCUUACUGGGCAGUAACUGACGUUGAGGCUCGAAAGCGUGGGGAGCAAACAGGAUUAGAUACCCUGGUA
RNAcentral lists this ribosomal RNA (466 nucleotides) under uncultured bacterium. Its description in RNAcentral is "bacterial SSU rRNA". It matches the Rfam family "Bacterial small subunit ribosomal RNA", at positions 329 to 792 of the family's 1533-position model. The record is from RNAcentral.